UACAUGGGGUGCAAACGUUGCUCGGAAUUAUUGGGCGUAAAGCGCGCGUAGGCGGUUACUUAAGUCGGAUGUGAAAGCCCUCGGCUUAACUGAGGAAGUGCACCCGAAACUGAGUAGCUGGAGUACGAAAGAGGGUCGCGGAAUUCCCGGUGUAGAGGUGAAAUUCGUAGAUAUCGGGAGGAACACCGGUGGCGAAGGCGGCGACCUGGGUCGAGACUGACGCUGAGGCGCGAAAGCGUGGGGAGCAAACGGG
RNAcentral lists this ribosomal RNA (253 nucleotides) under uncultured bacterium. Its description in RNAcentral is "partial 16S ribosomal RNA". It matches the Rfam family "Bacterial small subunit ribosomal RNA", at positions 524 to 776 of the family's 1533-position model. The record is from RNAcentral.